This 75-nucleotide transfer RNA is filed under the name candidate division Kazan bacterium. Its description in RNAcentral is "tRNA-Thr". It matches the Rfam family "tRNA". From Rfam's summary of the family: Transfer RNA (tRNA) molecules are approximately 80 nucleotides in length. Their secondary structure includes four short double-helical elements and three loops (D, anti-codon, and T loops). The record is from RNAcentral.
GUCGGCGUGGCUCAACGGUAGAGCGGCGGGCCAGUAACCCGCUGGUUGGGGGUUCGACUCCCUCCGCCGACUCCU